This 1301-nucleotide long non-coding RNA is filed under the name Zonotrichia albicollis (white-throated sparrow). Its description in RNAcentral is "lncRNA (ENSZALG00000000840.1)". The record is from RNAcentral. Lineage: Eukaryota; Metazoa; Chordata; Aves; Passeriformes; Passerellidae.
GAUGCUGUGCUCAAAUAGCGCCCUAGAAUUUAUUUGUAGUGUUUUUUAAAAUGUGUUUCUAACCCCCCCUGUCCCCCCCGAUAUAGUUCCUUAUGUGUGUGAUUUUAAAAUUGAAGUUAGAGCUGCGUGUUCUGUUCAACACGUUAUAAGCUCCCCUGUAUUUCUUGCUUAACUGCCCCAUAAACGUUUAGAGGGGAAAAGACCUUUUGUAGCUGGAAGAUAACGGCAAUGCCGGACUUUGUUCUAUUUAAUGGGAACAACCUACCUCUGCAGUCAAGCAUAAAUCAGGAAGAUGAAAUAUGCACCCAUUUUUCAGUACAGCCAAGUGUGAAUGAAGUUUGCUCUUUAGUGGAAGUACAGGCAUUGCAAACAAAGCUGCAAGGUACAGUUUGUAUCACAGAAUAAAAUGUAAUUUAAACAAACAGCACGUGAAUAGCUGAUUUUGUCUCUGAAGAGACAAAAAUAGUUUAAAAGCUUAAAGAAAGGGGAAAUUUGCAGUGUCAGUGACUCUGAAAUGUGCUUAAAACCCCUUACAAAACAUGCAGCCAGGCCAGCCAUAGACUUUUGAAAGCAGAUAACCUGAGAAACAAUUUGCUUUCAGAAAAACCAAGCCUAUAAUUAUUUCACAUGCAGGACUUCUGACAAAGUCCCUGAAUUGUGAGUUGGUAACUAAUUGCAAGCAGCAUGGAGACAGCUAAAAAAAGUAAAUCUCUGUGCAUAUGGGAAAGAAUUCUUUGUUGGCAUUUGCAGGACUGAUAAUGGUUUAUAGAGGCAAGUAGCUUUCUGUUUUCCAGGAACACAUGGUCAAAAAGAACAGAGCAAAGAACAACUGUGCCCAGGCCCAUCCUGCUGAGGGAUGUGUGGCACUGACUCUGGGGCAUGCACAGAACUGCUCGUGUGCCUUCCACACACCAGAGCUGCUCUGCUGCAUUCCAGGUUAUUGCCAUCUCCUUUUUAGCUUAUGAAUGCAAGUUUUUCCUUUGUUAUCUUUCACUAGCUGAGCAACUUUAACAGAAUUACACAAAAAUAACAGCGUGGUAAAUAUUGUUUCUGUGAAUACUGACUGGUAGUUCAGCAUUAGUAGGGAUCUCACUGUCCUUUAAUUUUUCAAACAAAUGGGACUUCUGAGUGAGAAAGCUGAGAUAUAUUCCAGAUGAUGUAGUAUUUUCACAUUAAUUCUAUACUCCAGGUAUAAUAGCAGUGUCAGUAAGACAAUAUGAAUACCCCAUUUAAAGUUCAUUAUCUCCUCUGGAAUUUGGGACCAUGUAAAUAAAUAAUGUGUUUUUCAAAUGUAAAAUCCA